CUCAGAAACUAUCACCAGCUCCUGCAUACUGCAGGUUCAAGUUCAAACUGCUUCAACUGAAAUCCAAGGGCAUACAUUAGGUUGGACCAUAGGAAGAGUCUGAUAGCUCACAUUUUUUUGAGCCACAAAACCAGAAAUUUCAUGCUUUGACCUAAUAGUCUGGCUCCACUGUGUCAUCUUGCACACUCCUCAACCCCUGCCAGGAGUCCACUGCAGUAAGACCAUCAGGUCUCGGGCCUGCCCCAGGAUACCGGAGCCUCAUGUCUGUGAAGACUUCCAGGGAAUGGGCCUCUCUCUAGGAGCCUCUCCAGCUUCCACAGCAUGGAGUGACAGGCGACCUUUCCAUCUGAGGGAAGCUUCCAUUGGCACCUGGCCUUGCUGGACAGCUUGCAAAUUCUCUGCUUCUUACAAGAAUCCCAGAUCUUCAACAAUCCGGGAUGAAAAUUGUGAGCAAUGUGGCUCAAAGCAAGCACUAGUGAUCCUGGAGCCCCAAGAGGACCGAACCCCAGUGUCCCCUGGGGAAAACAGACUUUCUCCCUAUCUGCAUACUCAAGGCCUCACAAAAAAAUUUCCAAGAACAACGCAGGCCAAUGUUGAAAUCAACAAAAGUAAAUGGCAUCACCCCACACCCAGGUUCAUCAUGCCGAUGGAGAAGACAGGUCUGAGCUUCUGAGGGAGGAGAGUGGAGAAGAAGUCAUCUGCUGGCCAUCUCCACCUCUCUACAUCCUCGACAGCCAGGGCCAAGGGAAAGGACACCACAGACUACUACAGAAACAACUUUGAGAGUCUGCUGACUCCAUCUUGGGAGCCUAGUGGCUGCCCAGCUCCUUGGGAAGGUUGACACCUACAAGUCAAGAGUUGUCCUGGAGGAUCCUGGAGCAUUGCCAUCCCAAGCCAGGGAUGCACGACUCCAUGUUCCACAAAGAUCAGCUUCCCACUUGGGGAGGGCAGGCAGUAGCUUGACAUUCCAGGUCCAGAGCUCCAAGAUCAGAGCACAGAGCAGUGCAGGCCGAUUCCAGUCGGAUUCUAGUUGGACUCUGGAUUCAAACUGAAACCCAACCCUCUGCGUGACCAGGUGAUCUUCCAGCCCUUUCUUCAUUUCUGAAGUCCUCCAGCUGGGAAAGGGGGAGCAGUGAUCAACCUCAAAGGACCCAUGAAGAUUAAUUAAUGCUUUCACAGUGCUUGGACAUCCACAAAUGACAGGCUCCACAGGAAGAGGACAGAAUGUCAUUAGGGUUAUUAGCAGCAAGGUGGCUUUGAAUCACAGAAAUCAGAGCUGGAAUUUGGGUUCCUGAUGGGGCUAGCCUCAAUUCUACUUUUCACCAAAUGGUGCGCGCUGUUUCCAAGGGACAGCCCUAAAUAUACAAGACACACUAAUGAUGGUGCACAUCAUUCCAUUUGCUGAAUCUGCCUUCCCUCCUUGGCUGCAACUGUAAAAUCCCAACCAUCUUCUAAAGCGAAGGUCAAGACCCCCUUUCCUCUAGGAAGUGCAAGGCAAUCACUCCCGGCCUCCGAACACACACUCUCCUGUGUCUGUACUCCAGGUCUCUCCCUGCCUGUUCCUAUUCCUUCAGCCACACUGGUAGCUCCAUGAGGGGCAAGCCAUGGCUCUGUGGCCUAGACGCCAGUGCAAGGUUUGCAUCACAUUUUUAUUAAAUGUGGCCUCUGAGAAUAAAGCUGAGUGGUAUUGCUGAG
This is a long non-coding RNA of Chinchilla lanigera (long-tailed chinchilla), 1695 nucleotides long. The record is from Ensembl. Lineage: Eukaryota; Metazoa; Chordata; Mammalia; Rodentia; Chinchillidae.